UUUCAAAAUCCUAUUUCACUUCACCAAGCCUUCAAUGACGAGAACACGGCCGCAAUCAGUUUAUUCUUCACUAACAUAAAAUCAAACCACCCAUUAAUCACAGAAAGAAAUAAGCUGACGCGCAGAAGAUAUUCAGAAUAUUCAGACAUCUAUAUUUUCAGCGAUAUGAACAAAAUACAUUAAGGAUUUAACAUUGUAAGUAAACAUUUUUUAUUUAUCUUCAUAUUUUGAUAAACUACAUAAUUCAGAAUAUUUUUUCAUGUAUAACAUUGUUUUCUUGUUAGUUAUGUCUGAGGACAAAUAUUCUUAGCAGUAGGUAUAUGAUUUUGAUUUUGAUUCAAAAUUUCCACCAAUACUAGCAUUAUUAACAAUUAAUUGUUUGGACACACAAUUUUAAAUAUUUUUGUCCAUGGAUGUAAAAAAACUCACUGGAGUCAAUAUGUUUGCUAACAAGGAAUUCCCAAUUCAAUAUUAUACAAGACUGAAAAAUAAAUAGGGGUACACUAAAAUAUACGAAAAUUUAGUAGUACCCAAAGUGAUGGAGUACCAUGACUAAAUGUUCGUAUAUUUUAGUGUACCCCUAUUUAUUUUUCAGUCUUGAAUAAUAUUGUCAAUAUUGAAUUAGGAAUUCCUUGUUAGCGAACAUAAUGACUC
This is a long non-coding RNA of Myzus persicae (green peach aphid), 654 nucleotides long. RefSeq lists it as uncharacterized. The transcript is spliced from 2 exons. Lineage: Eukaryota; Metazoa; Arthropoda; Insecta; Hemiptera; Aphididae. The record is from RefSeq and is a predicted model, not a curated record.